AUGCAUGCCGCUUCAGUGACUUGUACGUACCUCCUCGGCCUACUCGCCGGUGUCGAGUGGCCAAAGCCCUCACUGCUAGCUCAAAUAGCCAUGGUGCCCAUAUUAUCAAGAAUGAUGAGCUCCAAGAACUCUCAUGCGAUAAUAACAUCCAAAUGUCAUUUCUUUGAGCCCAUGACGGUGAGACCGACACGACCUCAGCUCGGCCAUGGCCGCCUCUCUGAACUGAAUGUUAUACCUCUACUACUUGAGGAGGGUAAUAGCUGUGAGAUCUUGAGUAAGGAAUUUUGUUGUGAAGCUAAGGCUGAUGUUAAGACAAAGUCCACUCUGUCUAGAUUGGAUACAAUUGGAGACAUGCAUCACGUAAUAUUCAGGGGUGGUCAAAACCAUGUGAAGUAUUACAGUGGAUGUUUGUUAGGAUCCAUAGUCGAAGGUGACUCGUACAUACCCCCUCGGCCUACUCACCGGCGUCGAGCGGCCAAAGCCCUCACUGCUAGCUCAAAUAGCCAUGGUGCCCAUGAUUAUCACUCUCGGAUGAGCUUGGACACCUUGAGAUUAUCAAGAAUGGUGAGCUCCAAGAACUCAUGUGUAGCAAUAAUAACAUACAAAUGUCAUUGCCAUCCAGCAUGUCAAUGCUCUCUUGAGUGGGCUUCAUUAGAUGGAGCAAUGGCUUCGUUGAGAACCAGGGAGUGUCAAGAUAGUACAAGAACAACCAAGCCUUCUUACAGAGUGUUAGAUUGCUUGAUGCUGCUACUUCACGCCAGAUGUGUGCAUAACUACUUCCAUGAUGAGCCGAUAUUUGUCGAGCAGGUCAUGCCACGUCUUCCCACCGAGAUCCAGUGGAGACAGCUGGGCCUGUAG
This 858-nucleotide ribosomal RNA is filed under the name Triticum aestivum (bread wheat). RNAcentral describes it as "partial small subunit ribosomal RNA". Lineage: Eukaryota; Viridiplantae; Streptophyta; Magnoliopsida; Poales; Poaceae. The record is from RNAcentral.